UUUUGUGUGUUUGGAUGUGUGUGUGUCGUGGAGGAGUGAUCUGUGCCUGUCCUUGUGGGUGUGUGACGAACCAGGCGUGAGCAUUCAGCAUUUGACUAAACACACUCACGCAGAGACUAUCCCUUUAAACCUUCGUCCCUUUAAACCGUACCCAAAUAAACGCUUUCGAUUCGCGUAGGCAGACCAGGCUAGCUCUCUCUGACCGGGCCAUGUGACGUAUUUUUAGUCAUAUGCUCCUAGUGAGAGUAACCCGCCGGCUAGGGAGUCUGGGAGUGUUAACUGGUUAUUUAACAGAGUAGAAGAUGAGAGAGAGACUGGGAUGUGUGAUGGAUGAGUGACAGGGAAAAGAAGGGUGUAAUCUGUUUGACGUAAGGGUGACAGGCUGUGUGCGUCCGUGUGUACAUGUAUGUGGGUGACUGGGUGUGUGUGGUGGGUCAGUGUCCGUAUGUAUGUGUGUAUUACCCUUGUGAGACCCGCUCUGUGUGUGUGUGUGUGUGUGUGUGUGUGUGUAGGGAGGGAGAGACACGUGAGUAAAGAAGGGAGGAUGGGGGUCAGGAAAGAGAAGGAGGAGGAAGAGGGCUGACUGGGUGGAGCUCUUAAAGAAAGUAUUCAGAAAUUACGUGUUUUCUUGACGGCUUCGCUGAGUCACUGUGUUAGGGAAGAGGAAGAGGAGGAGGAUGAGGAUAUAGAAGUGAUGUAAGCAUAGUGUUGCCAUGGUGACGGUGGUGGUGGGCAUGAUACAGAUGCGGGAGCUGGAGUUUGUGCCCGAUGGAGACAUGCAGCUGGACAAAUUCUGUUGCUCAUUGGUCAGACUGGAGUUUACAUGUGUACUUCCUUCACCAUCAUUGGUGGACACUUCACCAUGAGUGAUGCUUGAGCUGUCACGGUGCUGCUGCUGUUGUCUGCCAUCAUCCCCCUGACACAGACCACCCUGCAGACCACCUUCAUCCUGGGUGCCACACGUCACUGCUGCUACAACUCAGAGCAACUGGAGCGCAAGCCAGGAAGGGAGAUAGAGGCCAUGUCGGAGGUGCCGGUGGUGGGGUCGCCAGUUCCGGAGUACGAGGUGGAGGAGGAAAAGGAAGAGGAGGACGAGGAGGAGGCACGGAUAAGGAAGAAGAAAAGAUUAUUACCUGUAGCCCUCCCUCCAGCUGAUAAGGGGAUAUUAAGGAGCCCUUCCUACAGGUUCGUUCGAUGCAAGGAGUUGGCACAGGAGGCGUCCGAGGCUGUGUAGAGCGGCCGUCUGAACCUGGUGCCACAGCUUACUAUGUUCAACAGAUGCCUGAAGGAAGUGUGUGUAAGGAAGGAUAAAGAGAUCAUGCUGGCCUAUGCAGACGAUGUCGCUGUCGUGACAGGAAGCCAACAAGAUCUUCAAGAGGCCAUGACAAGAUGGAAUGAUGUUUUAAAUAGGGAAGGAAUGAGAAUGAACAAACAAAAAACUUAUUUACUAGUGGACAAGCAACAAGUGAUGGUGUGGCUCUGAGCCACUGUAGUAGGGAUGUUAUGGUUUAAGUGUAGGAAGUUGCAAAUGCUCACCUAACAAUUGCACCUUAGUAGAAAAACACAAACAGGAAGUUUAUGCAAGUUUUUAUCCUUAUAUAAAAUGUUGUAUUGCAUCAAACCUCCAUACAUUACUGUCUCUAUCCAGUAUGAGACCGGUGUUCAGGAAGCACAAGCAUGUGCUGAAUAACAAGAAGCCGGCAUUGGUGAAGGUGACAACAUUUCAUCUAUUUAUACAUACUUUUUAUUAUUAAAGCUUAUCUUAUAAUUAUUUCUGAAGAGAUUGACUAAUUUUUGUAGUAUUUAUGACUUAGAACUAUGAUAAAGCUAUGAAUUGAUAUAAUUCCUGAUUUGUUUUAUCUUUUCAUUAUCCUUCCUUUGUUAAUUGAGCAUUUUAUAUUACUUAGCUUAAAAAUGCAAGAACGGUUCAGAAGUAUCCAACCUUGGGCUAAGGGCCAAAAUUAUGGUAUCAUUCAAAAUGUCCUUCAAAGAAAGCCCUCUGUAAUCCAACACACUUAGCCCAUUAAUCCUUCCAUUUCUCAUCAAUUUGUUCAACAUUCAUAUUUUUCCCUUAUAGGGUUGAACAAUUUUCAUGGGUUCAGAGCAAAAGGCUUCCUCAUUCCUCCCCAAGGUAUUCUCGGAUGGUAAGCAGGUUUGACUCUGGAGCAAACCUGACCAAGGGCUACUGCCCAAGGCUACAGAGGUUCCUCUCCCUGAGGCUGAAUGCACCAUGUGAGAUGGUUCUGUUAUGUGGAUGAAUGUCAUGGUGGAUAGCAGUGCCACCACAUUCCUACAAUCAUCCAUCACUCCACUGCUCAAACGCUUCUGCAACCAAUGAUAGGUAUGCUGCCACAUUCUGCAUGGUCUCCUUGGCUCUCAGAUAAGGAUACUGUCAACAGGUUUGGGAUUGCCAAAAAAUCAUAAGGAGCUAUGUCUGAAAAGUCCAGAGAGAGAGAGAGAGAGAAAGAAUGAGCAAGAGAAAGAGUAGGAUGAAGCAAAGGAAGAGUCAAGAGGGAGGAAGAGAGAGUAGGACAAGAAAAAACAGAACAAAUAAAUCCCCUACACGUCUUGUCUCCAUUCACACAAGCCAUGAAAAGCUUGUCCAUCCCUGAGUGCUCAGAAGCAGUGUUCCACUGAUGAUGUGGAAACUUGAGACACCCAAUCAUUUAAUGGGCUUUAGUAGGUUUUGUCACCAGUCUUCUGUGUGUCACUGACUACAUUUUGAAAUUUUUAUCUGUUCUAUUUAAUUUUGUGUGUAUGUACACAAUGUUUAUGGUCAAUAAACUAUUUAUAAAACUAUUUAUCUGUGUGAGUAAGAUAAAAGCAGUUAUUGUUAUUAUUAUUAUUAUUAUUAUUAUUAUUAUUAUUAUUAUUAUUAUUACACAUUUUCCUCCUUGUAUUUAAAUAUUAUUAUUAUUAUUAUUAUUAUUAUUAUUAUUAUCAUGAAUUGUUCUUGUUUAUAAAUAAAAUACUGUAACUGA
This is a long non-coding RNA of Scylla paramamosain (green mud crab), 2981 nucleotides long. RefSeq lists it as uncharacterized. The record is from RefSeq and is a predicted model, not a curated record. The transcript is spliced from 6 exons. Lineage: Eukaryota; Metazoa; Arthropoda; Malacostraca; Decapoda; Portunidae.